CGCGGCCUAUCAGCUUGUUGGUGAGGUAACGGCUCACCAAGGCAAUGACGGGUAGCUGGUCUGAGAGGACGAUCAGCCACACUGGGACUGAGACACGGCCCAGACUCCUACGGGAGGCAGCAGUGGGGAAUCUUGCGCAAUGGGCGAAAGCCUGACGCAGCAACGCCGCGUGGGGGAUGAAGGCUCUCGGGUUGUAAACCCCUUUCAGCAGGGACGAAAAUGACGGUACCUGCAGAAGAAGCCCCGGCCGACUACGUGCCAGCAGCCGCGGUAACACGUAGGGGGCAAGCGUUGUCCGGAAUUAUUGGGCGUAAAGAGCUCGUAGGCGGCUCGGUAAGUCGGGUGUGAAAUUCCAGGGCUCAACCCUGGAACGCCACCCGAUACUGCUGUGGCUAGAGUCCGGUAGGGGAGCGUGGAAUUCCUAGUGUAGCGGUGAAAUGCGCAGGUAUUAGGAGGAACACCAGCGGCGAAGGCGGCGCUCUGGGCCGGAACUGACGCUGAGGAGCGAAAGCAUGGGGAGCAAACAGGAUUAGAUACCCUGGUAGUCCAUGCCGUAAACGUUGGGCACUAGGUGUGGGACCUAUUCAACGGGUUCCGUGCCGUAGCUAACGCAUUAAGUGCCCCGCCUGGGGAGUACGG
Molecule: ribosomal RNA, 639 nt
Filed under: uncultured actinomycete
Lineage: Bacteria; Bacillati; Actinomycetota; Actinomycetes; Actinomycetales
Description: bacterial SSU rRNA
Rfam family: Bacterial small subunit ribosomal RNA
Source: RNAcentral